This 428-nucleotide ribosomal RNA is filed under the name uncultured Alphaproteobacteria bacterium. RNAcentral's name for it is "bacterial SSU rRNA". It matches the Rfam family "Bacterial small subunit ribosomal RNA", at positions 49 to 524 of the family's 1533-position model. Lineage: Bacteria; Pseudomonadati; Pseudomonadota; Alphaproteobacteria. The record is from RNAcentral.
UAACACAUGCAAGUCGAACGAAGCCUUCGGGCUUAGUGGCGGACGGGUUAGUAACGCGUGGGAACGUGCCUUUCACUACGGAAUAGUCCCGGGAAACUGGGUUUAAUACCGUAUACGCCCUUCGGGGGAAAGAAUUUCGGUGAAAGAUCGGCCCGCGUUAGAUUAGGUAGUUGGCGGGGUAAUGGCCUACCAAGCCUACGAUCUAUAGCUGGUUUUAGAGGAUGAUCAGCAACACUGGGACUGAGACACGGCCCAGACUCCUACGGGAGGCAGCAGUGGGGAAUCUUGGACAAUGGGCGCAAGCCUGAUCCAGCCAUGCCGCGUGAGUGAUGAAGGCCUUAGGGUCGUAAAGCUCUUUCGCCAGGGAUGAUAAUGACAGUACCUGGUAAAGAAACCCCGGCUAACUCCGUGCCNANAGGCGCGGUAAU